AUUAACGCUGGCGGUAUGUAUAAUACAUGCAAGUCGAGUGGGUUUAGACCCACGGCGAACGGCUGAGUAACACGUUGGUAGUUACCUCGCACUCGGGGAUAACCUUUAGAAAUAGGGGAUAAUACCGGAUGGUCCCGAAAGGGUAAAGAUUUAUCGGUGCGAGAGACGCCUGCGGCCUAUCAGCUUGUUGGUGAGGUAAAAGCUCACCAAGGCUAUGACGGGUAGCUGGUCUGAGAGGACGACCAGCCAGAAUGGGACUGAGACACGGCCCAUACUCCUACGGGAGGCAGCAGUAAAGAAUCUUCGGCAAUGGGCGAAAGCCUGACCGAGCAAUACCGCGUGAGUGAUGAAGGUCGAAAGAUUGUAAAACUCUUUUCUGGGGGAAGAAUUCUGACGGUACCCCAGGAAUAAGCACCGGCUAACUCCGU
RNAcentral lists this ribosomal RNA (428 nucleotides) under uncultured bacterium. RNAcentral's name for it is "bacterial SSU rRNA". It matches the Rfam family "Bacterial small subunit ribosomal RNA", at positions 29 to 506 of the family's 1533-position model. The record is from RNAcentral.